AACGAACGCUGGCGGCGUGGAUAAGACAUGCAAGUCGGACGCUGAUUGCCGGGUAGCAAUAUUCGGCGGUCGGAGUGGCGAAAGGGUGCGUAACACGUGGGCAAUCUGCCGUGAAGUCGGGGAUAACUUGCUGAAAGGCGAGCUAAUACCGGAUGUGGUUUUGGGAGGGCAUCUUUCUGGAACCAAAGUUGGGGACCGCAAGGCCUGACGCUUCAUGAUGAGCCAGCGGCCUAUCAGCUAGUUGGUGAGGUAAUGGCUCACCAAGGCAAAGACGGGUAGCUGGUCUGGGAGGACGACCAGCCACACUGGAACUGAGACACGGUCCAGACACCUACGGGUGGCAGCAGUCGAGAAUUUUUCACAAUGGGCGAAAGCCUGAUGGAGCGACGCCGCGUGGGGGAUGAAUGGCUUCGGCCCGUAAACCCCUGUCAUUUGCGAACAAACCUUUCCACCCAACACGUGGAGAGCUGAUUGUAGCGAAAGAGGAAGGGACGGCUAACU
This 501-nucleotide ribosomal RNA is filed under the name uncultured bacterium. RNAcentral describes it as "bacterial SSU rRNA". It matches the Rfam family "Bacterial small subunit ribosomal RNA", at positions 29 to 502 of the family's 1533-position model. The record is from RNAcentral.